This 421-nucleotide ribosomal RNA is filed under the name uncultured bacterium. RNAcentral's name for it is "partial 16S ribosomal RNA". It matches the Rfam family "Bacterial small subunit ribosomal RNA", at positions 360 to 773 of the family's 1533-position model. The record is from RNAcentral.
AAUAUUGGACAAUGGGGGAAACCCUGAUCCAGCCAUGCCGCGUGUGUGAAGAAGGUCUUCGGAUUGUAAAGCACUUUAAGUUGGGAGGAAGGGCGUCAAGCUAAUACCUUGAUGUUUUGACGUUACUAACAGAAUAAGCACCGGCUAACUUCGUGCCAGCAGCCGCGGUAAUACGAAGGGUGCAAGCGUUAAUCGGAAUUACUGGGCGUAAAGCGCGCGUAGGUGGUUUGUUAAGUUGGAAGUGAAAGCCCCGGGCUCAACCUGGGAACUGCUUUCAAAACUGCUGAGCUAGAGUACGGUAGAGGGUAGUGGAAUUUCCUGUGUAGCGGUGAAAUGCGUAGAUAUAGGAAGGAACACCAGUGGCGAAGGCGACUACCUGGACUGAUACUGACACUGAGGUGCGAAAGCGUGGGGAGCAAAC